This 4490-nucleotide long non-coding RNA is filed under the name Equus asinus (donkey). RNAcentral describes it as "lncRNA (ENSEASG00005025082.1)". Lineage: Eukaryota; Metazoa; Chordata; Mammalia; Perissodactyla; Equidae. The record is from RNAcentral.
CAGAGGUGGAACUGGGAGGAAAGGGUCCAGGUCAGACUAACCCAGGACUAGCACAGAACUCCAGGAAUUACAACAGAUAUCCACCAUUUGACUUCCUGUAAGUCUCAUAAGGUUGCCACUCAAAAGACCUCACUUGCUCUCCAGUGAAAGAGCUGUACACACCACCUGAGCAAGGCCAGCGAGACCGACUCUCCCAAGAAGAUGAACUGGGCUGCAAUCCCUCACCUGAACUCCUUGGAUCCUGUGAAGUACCACCACCCUCGCUUCUGUAUCUCACGGUGUCAAAGAGCUCUCACCACAGCGUAUCACCAAGCCUUUACCUGGGAAUUGUGUGUAUCCAUCUCCAGCCAGUGGCAGGGCUGGGAAUACCAUUUGGCAAUGUGUUGCUGUGAAGGAAACAAAGUGAUCAAAUAAAGAAUGACUGAAGGGAGGGGUGGAAAGUGACCUGUGUUAGAAAUCACAACAGAAAACGCCUCUAGGAUGAGGUGGCAUUAAAGCUGAAACAAGAGGAUGAGAAGAAGCAAACCUGAAAAAGAGGAAGAAUAACACCAAUGCAAGAAGCAACUCCCUACCCAAAAGCCCACAGUGGGUAACCUUAUAGCAUACCUGGCUGAACGGUUGAAUACCAGUGUGGAGGAGGUAGACAUAACAUACAGUUGGGCAGAUCUUUAUAGGGACCAGAAUCCACAAGCCUAAGAGAUUUGAUUUUAUUUUAGAUGCAAGUGAAAGCUAUUAAAUGGUUUUGAAAAGAUAGCUGAAAUGAUCAGAUUCAUGUGGGAUACCAGGCUGUUUGAGUAGAACAAGGGAGAAAGAACAGUGGCGUACACUAAGAUGGCAAUGAGUAUGGAGAAAUAGAUAUAAAAUAUAUAUGUGUGUGUACAUACGUCUAUAUACACGCACACUUUGAGACAGAUUCCAGAAAACGUAAUGAUACAGUCUGGGCAGAAAGUGAGGAAAAGUAGGGACUCAGGGACCGUGCCUAGGUUUUUGUUUGAAGUUAGCAUGUGAACAGUUAGAAUGGAACAGUUUGGAAGGUGGAAUUAUUGAAGUUUUCAUUUAGACAUCGUAAUUGUGGAGACGUCAACCAGUGUUUCUCAAACUUCCCCAAUGAACAGAAUCAUCUGGGGAGCUUAUUACAUAUAUGGAUUAUCAGGUUUUCUGCUGGAAAUUCUGGAUCGGUAGGUCCGAGUUGAGCACAAAGUACUGGAUUUUCUUCACUCUCGGUGGGUAAUAUGCAGCUACCAAAAGAAAGAGAAUGAGGAAGAUCUCUAUCAACUGAUAUAGAGCAAUUUCCAAGAUAUGUUAAAGGCAAAAUUCAAAAGAGUAUCUAUGGUAUGCUAUUUUUCAUGUAGGAAGAAGGGACUAUAAGAAAAUACACACGUAUCUGUGCAAAAAAGAAAUGCAGGAAGGAUAAACCAGAAACCAGUGCAACUGAUUAUCUACAGGAAGCAGAUGGGAACUGGGAGGAAAGGAAGGAAGGACGGGAAUGGUGUAGAAGGGACGAGAAAGAGAUGAUACCUAAGUAUACCUUUCUGUAUACUUUUGAUUAAAACUGAACAGUUUUCACAUACCCAAGUAAAUAAUUAAAAUCAAGAAGCAUUUGGAAGGAUCCCAAAAUGGAACACAAACAGUAACAGGUGAACCUAACUUUACUACAAACACAUUAACAAAAUCACACUGGAGGAAGGGGGAAGAACUAACCUCGGAAAGAACUUUGGAAAAUAGUAUUUUAAUAUAGUGCAAAUAACCAUACACUUAAUAUAUACUACUAAUAAUAUUUAAUAAUAUUAAUAAUACAUUUAUAACUAAUCAUCAUAAUAAGGCUAAAGACAGAAAGAAUUGUACACAGAUAUUGAACUUGUUAGUAAAUUUAUUUUUCACAGGGGCAGAAGUUAACGAUUUUUAAAUAUUUUAUGUGUAUUCUAGAACUGAGCAAAUACAUAAAUGGAUUGUAGAUAAUGAGAAUCAGGUUUCUAAUUGUUAAAGAAAGGAGUUACAAGUAAGUAUAAGGUAAAGGAGGCUAGAAUAAACCCUAUGGUGUUGGAUUGGAAUCAAGGUAUCAGUUUGAACUCAUUCUCAAUUUGAACUCGUGUGUGUGUGUGUGCGCGCGCACGCAUGUGAACACACCCGGACUGAUACAUACAAAAAUAGAAGGAGAUAUUUGUACGUGUGGAUGUAUUCAGAUAUAUUUUCUUAGCUCUGUCUGCUGAAAGGGCAAUGGGGAAGCCUGGGUAGCAAUGAGUACACCUCAUACCAAGAUGCUGGUUUGUAAAUACCAUUAUUUAAGGCAAGGAAUAACAACUCCAUGGAGAAAUGACUGAUCCAAGGCUAGGACAGGGGAAAGUAAAAGAUGGGUCUGGAGCAUUUUUUGUGGUGCCAGAAAGUAAGCUACUACUCAAAAAAUUAUAUGGCUAUGUAGCAAAAACAAGAAAGACAGCUUGAAGGAGUACCAAUCACCAAAUCUGGAACAAUUUGAGAGACAAAAUAAUUAAUGCUAGUGAUGGCUUUUAACCCAUAGAACAAAAUAAAUAUCCACAAGUUUAUACCGAUAUAUGUAAAUAAAUAACCGAAUAAACGCAUAAACGAAGGAGAAGGAACAGCUCUUCGUUACAAUCAGAUCAUAGUUAAUAAAUAUAGAAGGAAUCAUGGAAAUAGAUGAUGAUCAUUUGCAGUAAUUAUUGGAGUCAGGAAUUAUUAAUGGAUACUAAAAUUGGUGUGGGGAAAAGAAACAAGAGCAGAAAUAUUUGAGCAAUCUCAAAUAAUUACAAGGGGAAAAAUAGUAACUUUGCAGUUAUCAUUAUAACCAAGUCAAGUUAGCAUCACCAGUAAUGAAACAUGGAUUUCUUGUGCCUCCUAAUACAGUACACUGAAAAGGACAUAACAUCACUUCUGUGGUAUUCUUGUGAAGAAACACAUAACCUCAGUCUAGCCAUGAGAAAACACCACGGAAACUCAAAUUGAGCAACAUUCUGCAAAAUAACGGGCUAGGAAUCUUCAUUAGUUUAAGGUCAUGAAAGAAAAGAAAGACUGAGGAGCUAUUCUAGAAAAGAAUGAGGAGAUUUGGCAAAUAAAUGCAAUAAAGGAUCCUGGAUUUGAACCUGGACCAGGGGAUCAUAGGAAAUAUUUUCACAUGAGUCUGUUAAUUAGUUAACAGUAUUGUGUCAAUGUAAACCUUCUGGUUUCAAAAUUAUACGGUGGCAAUAUAAUCUGUUAACAUUUGGGAAAGCUGGGUAAAGUGUAUAUGCGAACUCAUGCUGUUAAUGUUUAAAGUUUUUUGGUAAACUAACUCUGAUAAUGCAGUUCUGUGAAAAACUUAGUUUGGAUGUUUCUGAGCCUCUUUUUCGUAUCCCCAUAAAAGAAAGCUCCUCGUUUAGGAAUAAUACUGGUUCAAUGGGGAAGAUAAGAUUUACACAGGUUCAAUCCUAACACUCAGAUAGUAUGGAGUAGGAACAAUCAACUUUGAAUGCCAUUUCGUGACAUUAUAUACUUAAGUGUCAUAAUAAGUAGAAUGCAUAGACUACACAAACUUACAAGUUGAAAAACCAUAGACUCAUAGAAUUGUCUUGUAAUAAAGGCUCUUACUCUUCCAACACCUUAGCUUCAACCUCUGCUAAAAUACUUCAGUGAUAGGGAGUUCAUCAUUUUAAAAUGCAGUCUAUUUUAUUGUUCAAAGGUUCUACUUGUUAAAAUGUUCAUCUUUUUAUCAACCAAAACCUGGUUAAUUGGUCGAAAAUCUUCAGUGUGGAACAGUCUAAUUCCUUUUUCACAGGACAACUCCUAAAAUACUUCAGAACCACCUCCUGGCUCCUUCUGAGUCUUGUCUCACCUCAUCUAUUCCUAGUUCCUUCAGUUACUUCUUAUAUAUCUUAGAUCCCAAACACUUCACUGCACUGAUCACUUUCUUCAGCAUAACUCAUUUGUUCAAUGUGGUACUUUAAGCCUGAAAGGAGUUGUUUACUGUUAUCUGUAAAAAAUUCAGACAUAAAAUUUCCAAUCAGCCAAUAAUGCUUCACCUAACAUGAUCUAUAUACACCACUUGAUAAGCAAAAUUAAAAAUUCCAGAUCAUUUCAUUCGUACAGAGUAAUCUUAGGAUGUCCUUGUCUCUAAUGUGCAGGCAAUGUGAAUUUUCUUUGUGUGCCUCUGUAACUUUGCUCUAUUGCAGGCUACCAGAGGAUGCUCCAGUGAUGCUGCCUAACAGUGAUAUGUAUGUGAUACCUGCUAUGUACUAACAAAUGAGACAUUCAAAGGGAUCCUUUGUUCCCAAGAGACAUAAAUAUACGAAUUUUUAUUCUCUACUUUUUGUGUAUUUCUCAUUUUUAUUAUUCAUCUAUGAGCCCUUAAGUGCAUUCACCAAACUGCAUCAUAAACAUCAAAAUAGAUUACUUCACUUUACCUUUUAUGAGAUUAUUAUACUUAUCCACCAAUAUUUGAGCCCUUAGUCUGGGCAAAUCAUCCUAGCCAGUGAAGUGCAGAGGUUCAGAGCAUGGAG